Molecule: ribosomal RNA, 2514 nt
Filed under: human gut metagenome
Description: bacterial LSU rRNA
Rfam family: Bacterial large subunit ribosomal RNA
Source: RNAcentral
AUCCUGUCUGAAUAUGGGGGGACCAUCCUCCAAGGCUAAAUACUCCUGACUGACCGAUAGUGAACCAGUACCGUGAGGGAAAGGCGAAAAGAACCCCGGCGAGGGGAGUGAAAAAGAACCUGAAACCGUGUACGUACAAGCAGUGGGAGCCUCUUAAUGGGGUGACUGCGUACCUUUUGUAUAAUGGGUCAGCGACUUAUAUUCUGUAGCAAGGUUAACCGAAUAGGGGAGCCGAAGGGAAACCGAGUCUUAACUGGGCGUUAAGUUGCAGGGUAUAGACCCGAAACCCGGUGAUCUAGCCAUGGGCAGGUUGAAGGUUGGGUAACACUAACUGGAGGACCGAACCGACUAAUGUUGAAAAAUUAGCGGAUGACUUGUGGCUGGGGGUGAAAGGCCAAUCAAACCGGGAGAUAGCUGGUUCUCCCCGAAAGCUAUUUAGGUAGCGCCUCGUGAAUUCAUCUCCGGGGGUAGAGCACUGUUUCGGCAAGGGGGUCAUCCCGACUUACCAACCCGAUGCAAACUGCGAAUACCGGAGAAUGUUAUCACGGGAGACACACGGCGGGUGCUAACGUCCGUCGUGAAGAGGGAAACAACCCAGACCGCCAGCUAAGGUCCCAAAGUCAUGGUUAAGUGGGAAACGAUGUGGGAAGGCCCAGACAGCCAGGAUGUUGGCUUAGAAGCAGCCAUCAUUUAAAGAAAGCGUAAUAGCUCACUGGUCGAGUCGGCCUGCGCGGAAGAUGUAACGGGGCUAAACCAUGCACCGAAGCUGCGGCAGCGACACUAUGUGUUGUUGGGUAGGGGAGCGUUCUGUAAGCCUGUGAAGGUGUACUGUGAGGUAUGCUGGAGGUAUCAGAAGUGCGAAUGCUGACAUAAGUAACGAUAAAGCGGGUGAAAAGCCCGCUCGCCGGAAGACCAAGGGUUCCUGUCCAACGUUAAUCGGGGCAGGGUGAGUCGACCCCUAAGGCGAGGCCGAAAGGCGUAGUCGAUGGGAAACAGGUUAAUAUUCCUGUACUUGGUGUUACUGCGAAGGGGGGACGGAGAAGGCUAUGUUGGCCGGGCGACGGUUGUCCCGGUUUAAGCGUGUAGGCUGGUUUUCCAGGCAAAUCCGGAAAAUCAAGGCUGAGGCGUGAUGACGAGGCACUACGGUGCUGAAGCGACAAAUGCCCUGCUUCCAGGAAAAGCCUCUAAGCAUCAGGUAACAUCAAAUCGUACCCCAAACCGACACAGGUGGUCAGGUAGAGAAUACCAAGGCGCUUGAGAGAACUCGGGUGAAGGAACUAGGCAAAAUGGUGCCGUAACUUCGGGAGAAGGCACGCUGAUAUGUAGGUGAAGCGACUUGCUCGUGGAGCUGAAAUCAGUCGAAGAUACCAGCUGGCUGCAACUGUUUAUUAAAAACACAGCACUGUGCAAACACGAAAGUGGACGUAUACGGUGUGACGCCUGCCCGGUGCCGGAAGGUUAAUUGAUGGGGUUAGCGGUAACGCGAAGCUCUUGAUCGAAGCCCCGGUAAACGGCGGCCGUAACUAUAACGGUCCUAAGGUAGCGAAAUUCCUUGUCGGGUAAGUUCCGACCUGCACGAAUGGCGUAAUGAUGGCCAGGCUGUCUCCACCCGAGACUCAGUGAAAUUGAACUCGCUGUGAAGAUGCAGUGUACCCGCGGCAAGACGGAAAGACCCCGUGAACCUUUACUAUAGCUUGACACUGAACAUUGAGCCUUGAUGUGUAGGAUAGGUGGGAGGCUUUGAAGUGUGGACGCCAGUCUGCAUGGAGCCGACCUUGAAAUACCACCCUUUAAUGUUUGAUGUUCUAACGUGGGCCCCUUACCGGGGUUGCGGACAGUGUCUGGUGGGUAGUUUGACUGGGGCGGUCUCCUCCUAAAGAGUAACGGAGGAGCACGAAGGUUGGCUAAUCCUGGUCGGACAUCAGGAGGUUAGUGCAAUGGCAUAAGCCAGCUUGACUGCGAGCGUGACGGCGCGAGCAGGUGCGAAAGCAGGUCAUAGUGAUCCGGUGGUUCUGAAUGGAAGGGCCAUCGCUCAACGGAUAAAAGGUACUCCGGGGAUAACAGGCUGAUACCGCCCAAGAGUUCAUAUCGACGGCGGUGUUUGGCACCUCGAUGUCGGCUCAUCACAUCCUGGGGCUGAAGUAGGUCCCAAGGGUAUGGCUGUUCGCCAUUUAAAGUGGUACGCGAGCUGGGUUUAGAACGUCGUGAGACAGUUCGGUCCCUAUCUGCCGUGGGCGCUGGAGAACUGAGGGGGGCUGCUCCUAGUACGAGAGGACCGGAGUGGACGCAUCACUGGUGUUCGGGUUGUCAUGCCAAUGGCACUGCCCGGUAGCUAAAUGCGGAAGAGAUAAGUGCUGAAAGCAUCUAAGCACGAAACUUGCCCCGAGAUGAGUUCUCCCUGACUCCUUGAGAGUCCUGAAGGAACGUUGAAGACGACGACGUUGAUAGGCCGGGUGUGUAAGCGCAGCGAUGCGUUGAGCUAACCGGUACUAAUGAACCGUGAGGCUUAACCUU